This 464-nucleotide ribosomal RNA is filed under the name uncultured bacterium. Its description in RNAcentral is "partial 16S ribosomal RNA". It matches the Rfam family "Bacterial small subunit ribosomal RNA", at positions 339 to 795 of the family's 1533-position model. The record is from RNAcentral.
CUACGGGCCGCUGCAGUGGGGAAUAUUGCACAAUGGGCGCAAGCCUGAUGCAGCCAUGCCGCGUGUAUGAAGAAGGCCUUCGGGUUGUAAAGUACUUUCAGCGGGGAGGAAGGGAGUAAAGUUAAUACCUUUGCUCAUUGACGUUACCCGCAGAAGAAGCACCGGCUAACUCCGUGCCAGCAGCCGCGGUAAUACGGAGGGUGCAAGCGUUAAUCGGAAUUACUGGGCGUAAAGCGCACGCAGGCGGUUUGUUAAGUCGGAUGUGAAAUCCCCGGGCUCAACCUGGGAACUGCAUCUGAUACUGGCAAGCUUGAGUCUCGUAGAGGGGGGUAGAAUUCCAGGUGUAGCGGUGAAAUGUGUAGAGAUCUGGAGGAAUACCGGUGGCGAAGGCGGCCCCCUGGACGAAGACUGACGCUCAGGUGCGAAAGCGUGGGGAGCAAACAGGAUUAGAUACCCCAGUAGUC